UAAGGAAUAUUGGUCAAUGGACGCAAGUCUGAACCAGCCAUGCCGCGUGAAGGAUGAAGGUCCUCUGGAUUGUAAACUUCUUUUAUCUGGGACGAAAACGGGAUUUUUAUCUCAAUUGACGGUACCAGAGGAAUAAGCACCGGCUAACUACGUGCCAGCAGCCGCGGUAAUACGUAGGGUGCAAGCGUUAAUCGGAAUUACUGGGCGUAAAGCGUGCGCAGGCGGUUUUGUAAGUCUGACGUGAAAUCCCCGGGCUCAACCUGGGAAUUGCGUUGGAGACUGCAAGGCUGGAGUCUGGCAGAGGGGGGUAGAAUUCCACGUGUAGCAGUGAAAUGCGUAGAGAUGUGGAGGAACACCGAUGGCGAAGGCAGCCCCCUGGGUCAAGACUGACGCUCAUGCACGAAAGCGUGGGGAGCAAAC
Molecule: ribosomal RNA, 420 nt
Filed under: uncultured bacterium
Lineage: Bacteria
Description: bacterial SSU rRNA
Rfam family: Bacterial small subunit ribosomal RNA
Source: RNAcentral